This is a non-coding RNA of Ricinus communis (castor bean), 107 nucleotides long. The record is from Rfam. Lineage: Eukaryota; Viridiplantae; Streptophyta; Magnoliopsida; Malpighiales; Euphorbiaceae.
AGUCCAUGGUGUGGGCAACAUCUUAGUAGGUCAUUGUAUCUCUCCCAGGUGUCUUACAUCGACUCAUCAUCAAACAACACAAAAGAAGAUAUGUCAUUUCUAAGUUU